CUCUACAGGUUGAAAACGAUACGAUUUAGAAAGAUAGAGGACGCACGCGACGAGAUUGGGAAACUCUGCGCGCGCAUUGCACCUAUUCUUUGUUCGUUUCUCGGUUUUUAAGAGCAUGUCUCGCAUCGGUGCACGGCAAUUAUCGACGUGUGCGUGAAAAUCGACAAGAUCGAGUACCGUUUAUUAUACCAGAAUAUACACGCAUGUCAUCAGUACCAGGGCCUCUCCCUUCCGAAAUAACGACGACGAUUCGGUAACGCUGGUCAUUCGUAUGACACGGAUCAACGAUUUAACAAUCAGCCGAUGUAUAAAACGCACUUACCAGAUAACUAUGACAAUUCAACAACUACGACGAAAGAAUAUAAUUAUCGUGGAUGUUUGGGAAUCAAGAAAUUGAUGGCGUAAAAUUUUUAUUCGGAAAACCGUUUAAUGCUGCAUAAAUUUUGCGCUUCCUUAUGACCGAACAAACGUGUUAAAGUACUGUUCCUUUCAAUUGCGGUGGCCUUGAGCUGCCACAAUGUCCAACGUAUAUCGUGCGAAUGCUUUUUUUCGGGAAAGUCGUAUUUGCGAAACAUACUCAAACGACACCUAUAACCUAUAACCAAUGAACCAUUGCUUCCACUGGCGAUAAAUCAGGCAACCUUCUAACAUAACACGAACAAAUGGUUAACAAAUUUCACAAUACAGGUAUUAAACUGAAAACAACGGUAAAAAUAGGAGAAAUAAGAAAGUGAUUCCGGGAAACAAUAACGGUAAUAAAAAUACGACACUAGCAGCUGUCAAUGCGUGCUGUUUAGAAGCGUAGAUUGUCGUGCGUGUACAGCUGAUAGUGAUUAUGUAAGGUUUGAGCAUACAACGCGUAGCAAAAUACUGUCUAAUGUAAAAUCGUACGAUUAU
Molecule: long non-coding RNA, 897 nt
Organism: Eufriesea mexicana
Lineage: Eukaryota; Metazoa; Arthropoda; Insecta; Hymenoptera; Apidae
Exons: 4
Source: RefSeq, a predicted model, not a curated record